This 426-nucleotide unclassified non-coding RNA is filed under the name Physella acuta. RNAcentral's name for it is "partial external transcribed spacer". Lineage: Eukaryota; Metazoa; Mollusca; Gastropoda; Physidae. The record is from RNAcentral.
ACGCUAGGAUCCGCGCUCCCUCGCAGCCAGCGACAUGUGCCCGAUGUGACCGUGCGUGGCUCAGUCUCCCGACUAGCUUCCCGGUAAAAUGCGGGCUCGGCGCGCAGGUCGCGCCAGUGAAGGUAAAAGUACGUGUCCGUAGCGUGAAGCCAGCGGCGACGCGCAGUGCUAACGCAACCAAGCAGUAUUGGUGGCUCGAUAAAAGUCUCGCACUGGCCCAGCCCUCGGAACGGGCGACGGGUCUGCAAAACGCAGUCGGCUCGAUGCAAAUCGAGAGAUUUCCCGGCGACGCCGUGUUUACGGUGAAGGGGGAAAUGUGAGCGGUCCGAUGUGAAAAAAUCCGGGAAUGCCGGGAUCCGUUCUCUCGCUAGAGCGUUGUCUCCCGUCCCGCGAUGUGUUGUGGAAAAACGUCUCGCUAACGAUAGC